AACAGUUUGUUUUGUUCCUUCUUGACACUUUGUCAGUGAGUUAUUGUUGGUCAAUCAUAAGAUGCUAUACAGUUGUAGUAUUGUUCACCAACAUAUAUAUUGUACUCCAUGGUUGGAAUAACUUUGUUGAUUUUUAAUAGAUUGGGUAAAUGUCCCAUAUCCUCUAUUCCAUAGUUCACUGAGAGUCUGAGAUGUUGAUGAUUCAAUCAUGUCCUGUGAAAAACAGCGUUUUCAUUAGAAAAUGUAUCUUCAUUGGAGCUCAGAUACCUUCAGAUUUGAAUUGCAGUAUCUAGAAGUAAGAGAGAAGCAAUAUGAUAAGAAGGUUUACCUUGACUUGUAUACGGAUUCUUCCCCCAAAACACCAGCAGUCUAAAAUACGAUGGUGCAAGUGGUUUUGUAGUCAUAAAAUGAGCUCUUGGUACAAUUGUUUUUUCUUGGAAAAAAAACUGAUGGAACCAAACUCUACCAACAGGUACUUAGCCACAACAAACAAGGAGGCCAAUGCAAACUAUCUGGGUCCUGCUUCGUGGGAAGAAAUUGCCAAGUUGUGCCCUGUUCAACUUAAAAGCUUUAUUGUGCUUGAAAUGAAGCUGGUUAAUUUCCAUGAAUCUGUGCUAUGUUCAGGCAAAUCUACCUUGCUGUAGGCCCAACUGGACCAAACAAAGAGUAUCUGUUAUAUGUUUCCUCAUUAUAAAAGAAGUGUAAAUGUAUGCAUCAGUUUUAUGUUCGUGGCGGUGGUUGUGGAUGAACAUGUUCAGGACUUGGCGAAUGCACCAUGUUAUCUUAAUAAAAGACCGCAUUGUGAAAAAUUAUGAAGUUA
Brachypodium distachyon (stiff brome) is the source of this 820-nucleotide long non-coding RNA. RefSeq lists it as uncharacterized. Lineage: Eukaryota; Viridiplantae; Streptophyta; Magnoliopsida; Poales; Poaceae. The transcript has 2 exons. The record is from RefSeq and is a predicted model, not a curated record.